This 253-nucleotide ribosomal RNA is filed under the name uncultured bacterium. RNAcentral describes it as "partial 16S ribosomal RNA". It matches the Rfam family "Bacterial small subunit ribosomal RNA", at positions 524 to 776 of the family's 1533-position model. The record is from RNAcentral.
UACGGAGGAUCCAAGCGUUAUCCGGAUUCAUUGGGUUUAAAGGGUGCGUAGGCGGAAUUGUAAGUCAGUGGUGAAAUCUCUUCGCUUAACGAAGAAACUGCCAUUGAUACUGCAAAUCUUGAGUACAUUUGAUGUGGGCGGAAUGUGUCAUGUAGCGGUGAAAUGCUUAGAUAUGACACAGAACACCGAUUGCGAAGGCAGCUCGCAAAACUGUAACUGACGCUGAGGCACGAAAGCGUGGGGAGCAAACAGG